Molecule: ribosomal RNA, 2064 nt
Filed under: human gut metagenome
Description: bacterial LSU rRNA
Rfam family: Bacterial large subunit ribosomal RNA
Source: RNAcentral
AUCGAACCCGGAGAUAGCUGGUUCUCCUCGAAAUAGCUUUAGGGCUAGCCUCGAUUUAGUCUUAUGGAGGUAGAGCACUGAAUUUCCGCGGGGGCGUCAAAGCUUACCAAAGAAUAUCAAACUCCGAAUGCCAUGUAGAUGAUGAUCGGGAGUCAGACUGCACGAGAUAAGUUGGGCAGUCAAAAGGGAAAGAGCCCAGACCACCGGCUAAGGUCCCAAAGUGCGUGUUAAGUGGAAAAGGAUGUGGGAAUUCGAAGACAACUAGGAUGUUGGCUCAGAAGCAGCCAUACAUUCAAAGAGUGCGUAACAGCUCACUAGUCGAGAGUUCCUGCGCCGAAAAUGUCCGGGGCUGAAACACGACACCGAAGCCGUGGACUCGCAAUGCGAGUGGUAGAGGAGCAUUCUUAAAACCGACGAAGCUGUACCGAAAGGAGCAGUGGAGGGAUAAGAAGAGAGAAUGCCGGAAUGAGUAGCGAGAGAAAGGUGGGAAUCCUUUCGGCCGAAUAUCUAAGGUUUCCAGAGUAAAGCUGAUCUGCUCUGGGUAAGUCGGGGCCUAAGCACAGGUCGCAAGACGUAAGCGAUGGAUAACAGGUUUAGAUUCCUGUACCACGCAUUAUCAGAACUGUAGGGACGCAUGUGGAAAGCACGGGCCGGGAAUGGAAAGACCGGUACAAGCGAGGUAGGUGUACAAUAGGCAAAUCCGUUGUAUAAUCCGAAGACGUGAUGUGGAGCGAAAUAAAGUAGUGAAGCGUGUGAGCCAUGUGCCGAGAAAAGCUGCUAUUGUGUAAUGCGUGCCCGUACCGUAAACCGACACAGGUGGAUGAGGAGAGAAUCCUAAGGCCGGCGGAAGAAGCAUUGUUAAGGAAUUCGGCAAAAUGACCCCGUAACUUCGGGAGAAGGGGUGCCUGCGAGAGCAGGCCGCAGAGAAUAGGCUCAAGCAACUGUUUAGCAAAAACACAGGUCUAUGCGAAACCGAAAGGUGAGGUAUAUGGGCUGACGCCUGCCCGGUGCUGGAAGGUUAAGAGGAGAGGUUAGCGGUAACGCGAAGCUUUGAAUUUAAGCCCCAGUAAACGGCGGCCGUAACUAUAACGGUCCUAAGGUAGCGAAAUUCCUUGUCGGGUAAGUUCCGACCCGCACGAAAGGCGUAAUGAUUUGAGCACUGUCUCGACAAUGCAUCCGGUGAAAUUGAAGUACCAGUGAAGAUGCUGGUUACCCGCGCCAGGACGGAAAGACCCCAUGGAGCUUUACUCCAGUUUGAUACUGGGAUUCGGUACUGCAUGUACAGGAUAGGUGGGAGACGAAGAAGGAUGGACGCCAGUCUGUCCGGAGUCGCUGUUGGGAUACCACCCCUGUAGUACUGGGUUUCUAACCAGUUGCCAUGAACUGGCAAUGGGACAAUGUCAGGCGGGGAGUUUGACUGGGGCGGUCGCCUCCGAAAGGGUAUCGGAGGCGCUCAAAGGUUCCCUCAGAAUGGUUGGAAACCAUUUGAAGAGUGCAAAGGCAGAAGGGAGCUUGACUGCGACACCGACGGGUGGAGCAGGUACGAAAGUAGGGCUUAGUGAUCCGGUGGUAUUAAGUGGGAAUGCCAUCGCUCAACGGAUAAAAGCUACCCUGGGGAUAACAGGCUUAUCUCCCCCAAGAGUCCACAUCGACGGGGAGGUUUGGCACCUCGAUGUCGGCUCAUCGCAUCCUGGGGCUGAAUUCGGUCCCAAGGGUUUGGCUGUUCGCCAAUUAAAGCGGUACGCGAGCUGGGUUCAGAACGUCGUGAGACAGUUCGGUCCCUAUCCGGCGCGGGCGGAGGAUAUUUGAGAGGAGCUGUCCUUAGUACGAGAGGACCGGGAUGGACGGACCACUGGUGUAUCUGUUGUCGACCAACGGCAUGGCAGAGUAGCCAAGUCUGGAAGGGAUAAACGCUGAAGGCAUCUAAGCGUGAAGCCCCCCUCAAGAUGAGAUAUCCCUCCUUCGGGAGUAAGACCCCUUGAAGACUACAAGGUAGAUAGGGCAGAGGUGGAAGCAUGGCAACAUGUGGAGCUGACUGUUACUAAUAGGUCGAGGGCUUAAUCU